CAGUAAUUAAGGUAUUACAAGUGCCCAGAAACCCAUAGACUUAAAUAUUUUAUUUUAGACAUAUUCAAUUUAGAUUCUCCAUUUUGGAGAAAUUUGGAUGCAAACCAGGAAUAAAGGUUUUUGUGAAAUGGUAAAUAGCAGGAUUGUUCUGUCCAUAAUUUCUAAAAUUCAUCACAAUACUCUGGAAAUUGUUGGAAGGAAUCAUUAUAUAAAAGCUCUAUGAAAUGGGUUACCCCUUUGUGGGGUUAAAGUCCAUAAAUUCCAAAAAUGAAAUAAAGUAAUUCAUUUAACAAAUGUGUAUAGAGUGCCUAUUAUGUGCCAGGCAAUGUUCUAGAGUUUUGAGAUAUACAGUGAGCAAACAAUGCUCUCAACUCUCUGGAGCUUAUAUGCUAGUUAUUCUAGUGGGGGAGGCAAGACAAUACGAACAUAAAAAAUGAGAGUAAAGGAUACAGUAUAAAUCAGAAAGUGAUGAUACUAUGGCAAAAAAAACAAAAACAAAAAAAAAACUAAAUAAAAGAAUAAGGAGAUGAGAGCAGGGAGAUAGCCUGCUAUUUUGAAUACACUGGUUGAGAAGGUGCCAUGGAAAACAAGAGUUAAGUGAAAAUUGAACAGAGGAUCCUCAGGAAUGGAAGCAAUAAAUGUGACUUGUUUAUUAUUGGCCCAUUACAUCCAAGAGCAGCCUUUCCUCUCCUGUAUGUGGUUCUGUCAUUCCCCAAGCAAUUAAUGUCAAAAGUGAGGAGCAGGCAUUUGCAAAGAGGCCAAUUAAAGACUACAUCAUUGUCAAAAUGUCUGAAAGCCAGAAACCCAGCAGGCAAGAGAAUCAUGGCAGGAAGAUGGAGUAGUUUGCCUUUGGUCCCACAUGUGGACCCAAGUUGCUUCUAUGGAGUCAAGGAGAUAUUAGCAGCCAUGGAAUGA
This 915-nucleotide long non-coding RNA is filed under the name Papio anubis (olive baboon). RNAcentral's name for it is "lncRNA (ENSPANG00000046716.1)". Lineage: Eukaryota; Metazoa; Chordata; Mammalia; Primates; Cercopithecidae. The record is from RNAcentral.